CGAAGGGGGCUAGCGUUGCUCGGAAUUACUGGGCGUAAAGGGCGCGUAGGCGGACAGUUUAGUCAGAGGUGAAAGCCCAGGGCUCAACCCUGGAAUUGCCUUUGAUACUGGCUGUCUUGAGUACGGGAGAGGUGUGUGGAACUCCGAGCGUAGAGGUGAAAUUCGUAGAUAUUCGGAAGAACACCAGUGGCGAAGGCGACACACUGGCCCGUUACUGACGCUGAGGCGCGAAAGCGUGGGGAGCAAACAGGAUUAGAUACCCUGGUAGUCCACGCCGUAAACGAUGAGUGCUAGUUGUCGGCAUGCAUGCAUGUCGGUGACGCAGCUAACGCAUUAAGCACUCCGCCUGGGGAGUACGGUCGCAAGAUUA
RNAcentral lists this ribosomal RNA (370 nucleotides) under uncultured organism. RNAcentral describes it as "bacterial SSU rRNA". It matches the Rfam family "Bacterial small subunit ribosomal RNA", at positions 526 to 896 of the family's 1533-position model. The record is from RNAcentral.